Molecule: unclassified non-coding RNA, 2851 nt
Filed under: Hevea brasiliensis (rubber tree)
Lineage: Eukaryota; Viridiplantae; Streptophyta; Magnoliopsida; Malpighiales; Euphorbiaceae
Source: RNAcentral
GUUUUCAUCUUAUAAUAAACAAUUUCAAUUUCCUUUUCCCUUUGUCUUGUAAAUGACAUGCACACCAAAGGAUUCAUUUCAUUGCAUGUUGUCACUGUAGAAUCUCGAACACCAACAAAUUGUGAAAUCAAUCCCUGGUAAAUUUUACCUGUAAAGUUGUAAAUUCUGAAGUUAGUGUUUACCCAUAAAUAUAUUGCUAUGGUUUUUUCAGAGUUUGAUAAUUGUAAUUUUUCCAACCCUAAACCCUAAAUUUGAUAAUUAAAUCACUUUUUUCCAACAUCUAAAAUAACUUUUUUAUUCUUCCCAUCAAAAUCCCGGACUAAGUCAUAAGGGAGGCUUCAACCAAUCAAUAAUCAACACCACCAAGAAAGCUGAAUGUGACCUAUGACAUUCAAGGAAACCAUCUCUAGAACCAAAAGAGAAAUACUUAACUGGCCAAAUGGAGCUUGGAAACUCAAUCCACAAAUCAAUUUUUCAAAAGGAACAGAGACCUGCAACUUGUCUAAACUUCUCAUAGGAGACCCAAAAGACAAAUUGCCAUGGACCAAGUCUUGCCCAUGUAGGAAAAAACCCUUUCCACAAUGCUCUUAAUCCCUCAAUUUUAACUGUCUUCACCAGACAAUCGUAAGAGCUCUUGUAUCUAAUCUUGCCUUCCUUGGCCGCUACCUGAUUCAUCAUUCUUGUCUUCACUACAUCAGCUGGACAACUCAAAGCAGUUGCAGAAAGCCCUGACAUAAUGGAUGCUAAGGUGUGGGCAUAUAUAUUAUCAGCAGCUAUGCGGUUAUGGAUGACAAAUCUUUUUGCGUGAUCGUAACAGGCUAAUUCUCCCAUGUUCACUAAAAAUGCCCUUUGGAUGUUCGGGAAAACCCCUUUCCAAAGUCCACCAAAGCCUUCUGCAUGCACUAUCUUGUUAAAUGCAUCGAAAGGCCCCAAAUACCUAGGUUGGUGACCCUGGCUUACCAUACGACUAUCUGCUUGCAUUCGCACCUUAACAAGAUCAGCAGGACUAGCCACCACCUGCACUACUAAUGACAACCAUAAACUUAUAAGUUAUUGACAUAUUGUCUGAUAUUUACAUAUGGCAAAUAAAAGCAAAUGGAGACUUUUACUCACUAGGCCACUAUUUCAACAUUGUUUAGGGAAUUCAUCACUGGCUACCAGAUUAAUCAUGAAAUUUCUGGAAAGUAUCUGAUUAAUAGUAUCUAAUACUUUCUAGAUUUUUAUUCUUAUUGAAGGGCUAAAACUAAAUUACUCAUAAACACAAAUGGAAUUUGUCAUCCACUUAAUCAUUUAGCAGCUAAUAGCAAUCCAUGGAAAGGAGGAACAUUCAACGCAUUAAGUGCACCCUUCUCCACAUUCAAGUGGGGCUCGUCUUCCAUAUUUAUAGGUGGACAUGGAUCUCAAACGAAUGCCAAAGGAUGGUGCACUAAAUAAUUUCCCCCUUCCAAAAGAGUGACCCAUGGAACAGUGAAACUUGCUUCCCCUCACAUGAUAUUUAAACCUAAGGUAGACGCAAAUUCUUCUAUACCAAUAGCAGAGUUGGCAUUUCAUCCCUGUUGGAGUUACAAUGCUAGGAAUAAUUGAUGUCUCAUGGCUCAUGAGAAUCACCGUGUAUGUCAGAAUCAGACCAACCGAAAAAUGCAAAUGUAUGUCACUAUAAUCAAUUCAUUUAAACUCUGCAGCACAAUUCAAAAGUACUUAAUUGUUAAAUUUUUCACGAUGAACUAAUGUAGUCAAUUAUUGACUAAAAGAUAACUUCUUCAAAGGAUAAUCUCAACAAUCCCCCAACCCCUUCCAGCAGAAGGGAAAGCUCUCACCUAAACAACUAGGACAAAUACUCCAGCAAUGAGAGGCUUUAAAAAGAGAAAUGCAACUGCCACCACCACCAACAUUCACAAAACUCUUAAAAUUCCGAUAUCAAACAAUUUGCAUGCGCAUUGUGUUAAUUUUAUAAUAACAAAAUGACAUGUCAUUUGCGUACAUUAAAGACAAAUAUUGUGCUGUGCACAAGAACAACAUUUAAACAUUUAUGCUUUAAUGGAUAUGAAUGAAAUGCCUCUUUUUUUUUUUUUUUUCCGAGGAAAUGAGUUGCCACUCGAUCAUAUGCCUUAAACCAGAAAAUGACAUCCCAUACUAUAAAAGGCAAACUUUAAAUCUAGAAAAUUCAGGCAUUUCAAAAUGCCAUAACUUCAAAGCAUUUUUCUCUAAAAUUCCAUAACAUCUCUAAACCUGCUUAGCAUUCGACAAUACCCAAUUCCAUGUAUGAGACAAUGAUAUGAAGACAGACGCAAAUGCUUCAUUAAGUUUCUUCCUCUAGAAGGAUUGGUAUUAAUUCUUUAGACAAAUCAAUAGCUAAAACUUCAAAAAUUUUAGCCUUGUGAGUUGAUUUUUCAAAACAGAUGAAUCUCUUACCUGGGCAAUGACACCGGAGACUCCACCAAGGAAAGCUUUACUAGGGAGAGAAAUGGAACCAUUUCCACCGUCAUUGACAACAAAAUUUCUCAAAUUUUCAUAACCCACAAUUCGAAUAGGGGUGUAGAAGAGGUGUCGGAGGAUAGCAGGAGAAAGGCCUUGGUAGAGACCGAGAAGGCCUCGUUGGCGAAGGAUCUCCGCGGCGACUCGGAAAGCGUUGGUGGGGUGAGUGGAGGAAAGAGACUCACCGUGGAGCUGAAGUCGAGUCUUUGCCAGGUCUAUUGGGAAGGUCGCGGUCUCCGCCACCAUGGCCGAGAGUGAGGUCAACAGGAUCUUUGUCCGAGUCUGGGUCUGGUUGAGCCCAUGGCUCUGGCUUGGUUUCAUGGAUGGAACUUGAAAGGGAUACGGGGGUAAUGGCUUUUGCUAGUUUCAUAUUAAA